ACUGUGCUUUGCUUAUAACAUCAGCAGGAUGUGGAGGUGUUUGAGCUACAAUAACUCAUUUUGUAUUUCGUUGAUGUUCAGGAAAACAUGUGGUGUUUGACAAUUCGGUAUCUCUUUCUGUGGUCUUUCAAGUCUCUGACCUUCAUUUUCUCCUGAGGAAAAACCCAGGCAGCACAAGUCCAUUCUGUGAAUGUUUCCUGCUCCAACCUGUGACACCAGAGAGCUUACGCUGUGAGCCAAUGGUAAAGAAUUCCUGGAAGUCCAGUUCCAUCCUGCACACUAUCCUCACCCUAGAGAAAUCACAGGAUGCAACAGAGACACAACUGAGCACACCAAAUUUGACAGUAAAAGAAAGGAGGACUGUCCCCAUCUUCAGAGAAGCUCACAAAGCGCAGCACAGAAGGAAAGGCAGAAAAUAGACAGAUACCAAGCAUAAGUGUUAGUGCCUCUCGUGUUUCCAAG
This is a long non-coding RNA of Lemur catta (Ring-tailed lemur), 462 nucleotides long. RefSeq lists it as uncharacterized. NCBI's taxonomy places the organism in Eukaryota, Metazoa, Chordata, Mammalia, Primates, Lemuridae. The record is from RefSeq and is a predicted model, not a curated record. The transcript is spliced from 2 exons.